UACCUGGUUGAUCCUGCCAGUAGUCAUAUGCUUGUCUCAAAGAUUAAGCCAUGCAUGUCUAAGUAUGAACUAAUUCAGACUGUGAAACUGCGGAUGGCUCAUUAAAUCAGUUAUAGUUUUUUUUUAUGGUACCAUACUACUCGGAUAACCGUAGUAAUUCUAGAGCUAAUAUGUGCACCAAGUCCCGACUCUUUGGGGAUGCAUUUUUUAUAUAAAAGGCCGGCGCGGGCUUGCCCGCUUCUCCGGUGAAUCAUGAUAACUCGACUGGGUUCAUCGAGUCUGGUAAUUAGAAUGAGUACAAUCUAAAUCCCUUAACGAGGAUCCAUUAGAGGGCAAGUCUGGUGCCAGCAGCCGAGGUAAUUCCAGCUCCAAUAGCGUAUAUUUAAGUUGCUGCAGUUAAAAAGCUCGUAGUUGGAUCUUGGGUCGUAAAGGUCGGUCCGCCUACUCGGUGUGCACCUGCCCUUCCAUCCCUUUUAUCGGCGGCGUGCUCCUGACCUUAAUUGGCUCGGUCACGGCUCCGGCGCUAUUACUUUGAAAAAAUUAGAGUGCUCAAAGCAAGCUUAUGCUCUGAAUACAUUAGCAUGGAAUAACGUGAUAGGAGUCUGGUCCUAUUGUGUUGGCCUUCAGGACUGGAGUAAUGAUUAAUAGGGACUGACAGGGGCAUUCGUAUUUCAUUGUCAGAGGUGAAAUUCUUGGAUUUAUGAAAGACAGACCACUGCGAAAGCAUUUGCCAAGGAUGUUUUCAAUAAUAAAGAACGAAAGUUGGGGGCUCGAAGACGAUCAGAUACCGUCCUAGUCUCAACCAUAAACGAUGCCGACCAGGGAUCGGCGGAUGUUGCUCUAAGGACUCCGCCAGCACCUUCUGAGAAAUCAGAGUGUUUGGGUUCCCGGGGGAGUAUGGUCGCAAGGCUGAAACUUAAAGGAAUUGACGGAAGGGCACCACCAGGAGUGGAGCCUGCGGCUUAAUUUGACUCAACACGGGGAAACUUACCAAGUCCAGACAUAGUAAGGGUUGACAGAUUGAGAGCUCUUUCUUGAUUCUAUGGGUGGUGGUGCAUGGUCGUUCUUAGUUGGUGGAGCGAUUUGUUUGGUUAAUUCCGAUAACGAACGAGACCUCAGCCUGCUAAAUAGCUACAUGGAGGUUCCCCUUCGCGGCUAGCUUCUUAGAGGGACUAUGGCCGUUUAGGCCAUGGAAGUUUGAGGUAAUAACAGGUCUGUGAUGCCCUUAGAUGUUCUGGGCCGCACACGUGCUACACUGAUGCAGCAAACGAGCUUUUCUUCCUGGUUCGAGAGGAUCGGGAAAUCUUCUCAAAUUGCAUCGUGAUGGGGAUAGACCGUUGCAAUUAUUGGUCUUCAACGAGGAAUUCCUAGUAAGCGCGUGUCAUCAACUCGUGUUGACUACGUCCCUGCCCUUUGUACACACCGCCCGUCGCUCCUACCGAUUGAAUGAUCCGGUGAGGUGUUCGGAUUGCAUCGACAAUGGUGGUUCGCCGCCAUCGACGUCGUGAGAAGUUCAUUGAACCUUAUCAUUUAGAGGAAGGAGAAGUCGUAACAAGGUUACCGUAGGUGAACUUGCGGUAG
This 1581-nucleotide ribosomal RNA is filed under the name Pinus taeda (loblolly pine). RNAcentral describes it as "SSU rRNA". It matches the Rfam family "Eukaryotic small subunit ribosomal RNA". The record is from RNAcentral. Lineage: Eukaryota; Viridiplantae; Streptophyta; Pinopsida; Pinales; Pinaceae.